RNAcentral lists this ribosomal RNA (478 nucleotides) under uncultured bacterium. RNAcentral describes it as "partial 16S ribosomal RNA". It matches the Rfam family "Bacterial small subunit ribosomal RNA", at positions 28 to 523 of the family's 1533-position model. The record is from RNAcentral.
GACGAACGCUGGCGGCGUGCUUAACACAUGCAAGUCGAGCGAUGAAGCUCCUUCGGGAGUGGAUUAGCGGCGGACGGGUGAGUAACACGUGGGUAACCUGCCUCAUAGAGGGGAAUAGCCUUCCGAAAGGAAGAUUAAUACCGCAUAAGAUUGUAGCUUCGCAUGAAGCAGCAAUUAAAGGAGCAAUCCGCUAUGAGAUGGACCCGCGUCGCAUUAGCUAGUUGGUGAGGUAACGGCUCACCAAGGCGACGAUGCGCAGCCGACCUGAGAGGGUGAUCGGCCACAUUGGGACUGAGACACGGCCCAGACUCCUACGGGAGGCAGCAGUGGGGAAUAUUGCACAAUGGGGGAAACCCUGAUGCAGCAACGCCGCGUGAGUGAUGACGGUCUUCGGAUUGUAAAACUCUGUCUUCAGGGACGAUAAUGACGGUACCUGAGGAGGAAGCCACGGCUAACUACGUGCCAGCAGCCGCGGUAA